ACUGGCUGAGGUAGUAGUUUGUGCUGUUGGUCGGGUUGUGACAUUGCCCGCUAUGGCGAUGACUGCGCAAGCUACUGCCUUGCUGGU
RNAcentral lists this microRNA precursor (87 nucleotides) under Scleropages formosus (Asian bonytongue). RNAcentral describes it as "let-7 microRNA precursor family". It matches the Rfam family "let-7 microRNA precursor family". Rfam says of the family: This family represents the microRNAs (miRNA) let-7 and mir-98. let-7 was identified from a study of developmental timing in C. elegans, and was later shown to be part of a much larger class of non-coding RNAs termed miRNAs. The extents of the hairpin precursors are not generally known and are estimated based on hairpin prediction. Lineage: Eukaryota; Metazoa; Chordata; Actinopteri; Osteoglossiformes; Osteoglossidae. The record is from Rfam by way of RNAcentral.